AAUUAUACAAUUAAAAACAAUUUUUCAAAAUUACUUUAAUAUUGAAGAACACCUCCAUGAAGUUGGCGUCGAAGAACAACAUUUUUAAAAAACUUGACAAUAUUUUAGUAUUAUUUAUAAAGGUACAAUAAGCGGUCAUUCACAAGCUACGUCAUACGUUAUGUUGUAUCUAUGUUGGAUUACUCGCCGCAUAAACAUUACGUUU
This is a long non-coding RNA of Leptopilina boulardi, 205 nucleotides long. RefSeq lists it as uncharacterized. NCBI's taxonomy places the organism in Eukaryota, Metazoa, Arthropoda, Insecta, Hymenoptera, Figitidae. The record is from RefSeq and is a predicted model, not a curated record. The transcript is spliced from 2 exons.